UACGGAGGGGGCUAGCGUUGUUCGGAAUGACUGGGCGUAAAGCGCGCGUAGGCGGAUCGGAUAGUUGGGGGUGAAAGCCCAGGGCUCAACCCUGGAAUGGCCUUCAAAACUCCCGAUCUAGGGUUCGAGAGAGGUGAGUGGAAUUCCGAGUGUAGAGGUGAAAUUCGUAGAUAUUCGGAGGAACACCAGUGGCGAAGGCGGCUCACUGGCUCGACACUGACGCUGAGGUGCGAAAGCGUGGGGAGCAAACAGG
RNAcentral lists this ribosomal RNA (253 nucleotides) under uncultured bacterium. RNAcentral describes it as "partial 16S ribosomal RNA". It matches the Rfam family "Bacterial small subunit ribosomal RNA", at positions 524 to 776 of the family's 1533-position model. The record is from RNAcentral.